AAUACUGGGCUAAAAUCAACGUGUCAGGAAGGCUGUGUUCCUUCUUGAGGCUCCAGGAGAAGUCGUUUCUUUGCCCUUUCUGGGUUCUAGAGACUGCCACAUUCGGGUUCUAGGAAGUAGGACAUGGACAUCGUUGGGGGACCAUUAAUUUGCCUACCACCAGUAGCUCUUAACAACAAGAGUGUGAAGCAGAUUUGAAUCUAAACCCUGGCCUGGAGCCACACCCAACUGAGAUCAGCAGAGUGGCCCUACUUGAUCCAUAGACACAC
RNAcentral lists this long non-coding RNA (269 nucleotides) under Homo sapiens (human). Its description in RNAcentral is "HSALNT0393583". The record is from RNAcentral. Lineage: Eukaryota; Metazoa; Chordata; Mammalia; Primates; Hominidae.